GUUGGUGACCAGCGGAGGGAUCAUUACCGAGUUUACAACUCCCAAACCCCUGUGAACAUACCUAUACGUUGCCUCGGCGGAUCAGCCCGCGCCCCGUAAAACGGGACGGCCCGCCCGAGGACCCCUAAACUCUGUUUUUAGUGGAACUUCUGAGUAAAACAAACAAAUAAAUCAAAACUUUCAACAACGGAUCUCUUGGUUCUGGCAUCGAUGAAGAACGCAGCAAAAUGCGAUAAGUAAUGUGAAUUGCAGAAUUCAGUGAAUCAUCGAAUCUUUGAACGCACAUUGCGCCCGCCAGUAUUCUGGCGGGCAUGCCUGUUCGAGCGUCAUUUCAACCCUCAAGCUCAGCUUGGUGUUGGGACUCGCGGUAACCCGCGUUCCCCAAAUCGAUUGGCGGUCACGUCGAGCUUCCAUAGCGUAGUAAUCAUACACCUCGUUACUGGUAAUCGUCGCGGCCACGCCGUUAAACCCCAACUUCUGAAUGUUGACCUCGGAUCAGGUAGGAAUACCCGCUGAACUUAAGCAUAUCAAUAGCCGGGAGGAA
RNAcentral lists this ribosomal RNA (544 nucleotides) under Fusarium sp. SK5GW3L. RNAcentral describes it as "eukaryotic LSU rRNA". The stretch from base 176 to 329 matches the Rfam family "5.8S ribosomal RNA". The record is from RNAcentral. Lineage: Eukaryota; Fungi; Ascomycota; Sordariomycetes; Hypocreales; Nectriaceae.